AACGCUGGCGGCGUGCCUAACACAUGCAAGUCGAACGGGGAUUUGUUUCGGCAGAAUCCUAGUGGCGAACGGGUGAGUAACGCGUAGGCAACCUGCCCUCCGGCCGGGGACAACACUCCGAAAGGGGUGCUAAUACCGGAUACGAAGUCUGUGCCGCAUGGUACGGAUUUGAAAGAUGGCCUCUGUUUACAAGCUAUCGCCGGGGGAUGGGCCUGCGUCCGAUUAGCUGGUUGGUGGGGUAACGGCCUACCAAGGCGACGAUCGGUAGCCGGUCUGAGAGGAUGAACGGCCACAUUGGGACUGAGACACGGCCCAGACUCCUACGGGAGGCAGCAGUGGGGAAUCUUCCGCAAUGGGCGCAAGCCUGACGGAGCAACGCCGCCGUGAGUGAGGAAGUUCUUCGGAACGUAAAGCUCUGUUGUUCCUGACGAACCUCCCCUCUAUCAACAACGGAGGGGACUAACGGUAGGGAACGAGGAAGCCACGGCUAACUACGUGCCAGCCGCAGC
Molecule: ribosomal RNA, 509 nt
Filed under: uncultured bacterium
Lineage: Bacteria
Description: bacterial SSU rRNA
Rfam family: Bacterial small subunit ribosomal RNA
Source: RNAcentral